RNAcentral lists this ribosomal RNA (424 nucleotides) under uncultured bacterium. Its description in RNAcentral is "bacterial SSU rRNA". It matches the Rfam family "Bacterial small subunit ribosomal RNA", at positions 359 to 776 of the family's 1533-position model. The record is from RNAcentral.
GAAUCUUGCGCAAUGGGCGAAAGCCUGACGCAGCGACGCCGCGUGAGUGAUGAAGGCCCUAGGGUUGUAAAGCUCUGUGGAGCGGGACGAAUAAGCAAUGGCCAAUACCCAUUGUUAUGACGGUACCUCUUUAGCAAGCCCCGGCCAACUCUGUGCCAGCCGCCGCGGUAAGACAGAGGGUGCAAACGUUGUUCGGAAUUACUGGGCGUAAAGCGCGUGUAGGCUGUCGCGCAAGUCGGGUGUGAAAGCCCAGGGCUCAACCCUGGAAGUGCACUCGAAACUGCAUGACUUGAAUCUCGGAGAGGAUGGCGGAAUUCUGGGUGUAGAGGUGAAAUUCGUAGAUAUCCAGAGGAACACCGGUGGCGAAGGCGGCUAUCUGGACGAGUAUUGACGCUGAGACGCGAAAGUGUGGGGAGCAAACAGG